UCUCUGCAAUUUUAUUGCCAUUCGGCAUCUCUUUUCACUUUGUGAUCUUGUUUUUCUGUGCUAGACCGAUCCAUGUAACUACAGGUUUUGAAUCUCCUUGAGUGGUAAUGCAUGAUAUUAAACGUCGUAUUGCUAUAAAAAAAUACAAUGAAAUGGCGAAUAAUAAUUAAACAAAUGUCAAUUAGUCGAUUUUUCAUUUAUGUAUAUAUGUCUGUAAACUGUUCGAUGCACAAAUCCUCUCACGUAGAUA
This 250-nucleotide long non-coding RNA is filed under the name Physcomitrium patens. Its description in RNAcentral is "long non-coding RNA (PPAT_LNC005728)". Lineage: Eukaryota; Viridiplantae; Streptophyta; Bryopsida; Funariales; Funariaceae. The record is from RNAcentral.